This 753-nucleotide ribosomal RNA is filed under the name uncultured cyanobacterium. RNAcentral describes it as "bacterial SSU rRNA". It matches the Rfam family "Bacterial small subunit ribosomal RNA", at positions 28 to 829 of the family's 1533-position model. The record is from RNAcentral. Lineage: Bacteria; Bacillati; Cyanobacteriota.
GAUGAACGCUGGCGGUAUGCUUAACACAUGCAAGUCGAACGGAACCUUCGGGUUUAGUGGCGGACGGGUGAGUAACGCGUGAGAAUCUGCCUCUAGGUCGGGGACAACAACUGGAAACGGUUGCUAAUACCCGAUGUGCAGCAAUGUGAAAGAUUUAUUGCCUAGAGAUGAGCUCGCGUCUGAUUAGCUAGUAGGUGUGGUAAUGGCGCACCUAGGCGACGAUCAGUAACUGGUCUGAGAGGAUGACCAGUCACACUGGGACUGAGACACGGCCCGGACUCCUACGGGAGGCAGCAGUGGGGAAUUUUCCGCAAUGGGCGAAAGCCUGACGGAGCAAUACCGCGUGAGGGACGAAGGCUUUUGGGUCGUAAACCUCUUUUCCCUGAGAAGAAGAUCUGACGGUAUCAGGGGAAUCAGCAUCGGCUAACUUCGUGCCAGCAGCCGCGGUAAUACGAGGGAUGCAAGCGUUAUCCGGAAUUAUUGGGCGUAAAGCGUCCGCAGGUGGCUCUGUAAGUCUGUCGUUAAAGAAUGGGGCUCAACCCCAUACAGGCGAUGGAAACUACAAGGCUAGAGUUUGGUAGGGGUCACGGGAAUUCUUAGUGUAGCGGUGAAAUGCGUAGAUAUUAAGAGACACCAGCGGCGAAAGCGCGUGACUGGGCAGUACUGACACUCAUGGACGACAGCUAGGGGAGCGAAAGGGAUUAGAUACCCCUGUAGUCCUAGCCGUAAACGAUGAUAACUAGGUGUUGCCCG